Molecule: long non-coding RNA, 937 nt
Organism: Lolium perenne
Lineage: Eukaryota; Viridiplantae; Streptophyta; Magnoliopsida; Poales; Poaceae
Source: RefSeq, a predicted model, not a curated record
GCAGUGAGUGGCUUCCGUGUUUUCUUAAGAAAAAAAAAGUAGAUCGGCUUGCCGUCAGCUACCUCGAAUUCAGGCCGGCGGACGCGCCGUGCUCCUACGCUCGAUGCCGAGGUUACCUCCAUUUGUCGCUUCCGCCCACGGCUCUAGGUGGAGGUUGACCCGAGGGGGAUCGAUGGAGAAGUGGAGGGAGAGAGAAAUAGAGGGGCGCCGCCCGGCCUGCUCAAGCUGGAGCUCGGCUCGAGGUAGGGGGAGGAGUGGAGGAAGGGGAAAAUGGAGAGGCGCCGCUCGGCCGAGCCUCCAGGCGGAGUUCGGCCUGAUGGAGAUGGAGGAGUGGAGAAGCUACGCGUGGGCGGGAUCGACGCCCGCCGAAUUCGCUGGGAGCAGCAAUUGCUCGUCGUCGGCACUGUCUACCGUGAAGGAAUCGAUGGCCUGGUAUGCAGCUCGUUUUUGAGCUAAGAAGUUUGUGAGUAUUCUUUCUUGAAGCAUCAAUUUGAAGAUAAACUGAACUUGUCGGCUACCAUGAGAAUUAUCACUGUAUUCAUCGCGACCAGAAAUUCAAGAAGAGCUUGAUGGAUUUCUUGCCUGUCCAAAAGGUCUCCUUGAACCCAAAUGCAUCUUACCCUGAGUUCUUUCUGCAUCGAUCACAUGAGUUGGAAACUGGCCAUAGAGUUCAUCAGAUGGAAAAGUGAUAUGCAUCUUCAAUUACAAAUGGUAAUCCAUACACCAGUCUGAGAAAAGAUAUCUGAUGUUGACGACAAGCAUCAACAAGAGGGCGGAGCAGAAGAGAUGGCAGGAUGACGACAAGAGGGCGAACUAAACCACGGGGCAAUUAGAAAUCAACUAAAGCAUGUAUACAAUUUUUUUUCAUGCACAAACAUUUCGUAACUACCUAAGUGAAAUCUUCAAGCGGAUUGGAAUCUAAAUAUCUAUAAAAUAG